UCGAACAACUGUUAACUGCAUUAAGACUUAGAGAAACCUAAUUCUAACCUUGCCAACCGCGUGGUCAAGUUUAGAUUAUGCAACUUGAUUAAAUGUGUGUUUAAAUAAUCUAAGCAAUUACGGACCUAAAUUAUUCAAACAAUUGUUACUCAAGCAAUUAAAAGCAAUAGGCCUAAAUUGAUUCUAAAAGCAAAACAACAAUUAUAGAAAGGUCAAAUAGCAUAAAUAUUGAAAAUAAAUAGAAGUUUAACAAUGGAGAUUUAAAUCUCCCAAUUCAUCACAAAUCUGAAUUUUUCAACUUCAACUAGAAAAUAUGAAAAUUAGCCACUCAUGGUGGACAAAA
This 343-nucleotide long non-coding RNA is filed under the name Manihot esculenta (cassava). Its description in RNAcentral is "long non-coding RNA (MESC_LNC005004)". The record is from RNAcentral. Lineage: Eukaryota; Viridiplantae; Streptophyta; Magnoliopsida; Malpighiales; Euphorbiaceae.